RNAcentral lists this ribosomal RNA (507 nucleotides) under Triticum aestivum (bread wheat). RNAcentral's name for it is "partial small subunit ribosomal RNA". The record is from RNAcentral. Lineage: Eukaryota; Viridiplantae; Streptophyta; Magnoliopsida; Poales; Poaceae.
AUGUCUAUCCUAUAUGGAUCCCUCGGUGGUGGUCAGUUCUUGGCAUUGCACGGACGCGAUUUAAUCAACAGGAAGCUUCUUAACUCUAAGGAAGAUAGCAUCGAUGAUGUCAAGAAGCUGUUGGGAUUCUUUGCUGAGAUGAAAGCAGUAAAUAAUGAAUUCUUCUUCGACUUCCAGAUUGAUGAGUUUGGUCGCAUAAAGAACUUCUUCUGGGCUAAUGCAAGCUGCAGGGGCGCGUACCAAGAUUUUGGUGAUGCGAUGACAUUUGACACCACUUAUAAGACAAAUCAGUACCUUAUGCCUUUGGGAGUAUUUGUAGGAGUAAACAAUCAUCUCCAGUCAACAAUAUUCGUGUGUGCCCUUGUAAGGGAUGAAUGUGAAGAAUCUUUUGCUUGGCUAUUCAGAACCUUCUUGGCAUGCAACAAUGGGAAGCAACCUACAAUAAUUUUAACAGGUAUAACACAUUCCAAUUUAUAUAGAUCGUGGACAUAUAGACUGACAUUGUAG